AUUGCAGAAUCCCGUGAACCAUCGAGUCUUUGAACGCAAGUUGCGCCCGAAGCCCUCGGGCCGAGGGCACGCCUGCCUGGGCGUCACGCAUCGCGUCGC
This 99-nucleotide ribosomal RNA is filed under the name Andrographis echioides. Its description in RNAcentral is "partial 5.8S ribosomal RNA". The stretch from base 1 to 86 matches the Rfam family "5.8S ribosomal RNA", at positions 71 to 154 of the family's 154-position model. From Rfam's summary of the family: 5.8S ribosomal RNA (5.8S rRNA) is a component of the large subunit of the eukaryotic ribosome. It is transcribed by RNA polymerase I as part of the 45S precursor that also contains 18S and 28S rRNA. Functionally, it is thought that 5.8S rRNA may be involved in ribosome translocation. The record is from RNAcentral. Lineage: Eukaryota; Viridiplantae; Streptophyta; Magnoliopsida; Lamiales; Acanthaceae.